CCCCUACAGCUCCCGAAUCUGCAAAAUAACAACUAAACCCAGUAAAAAUGCUUCUAAAAGACUCGAGAAUACAACAAUUUAAACCCACGUAUAUCCAAUUCAUGGGUUUAUUACCCCAUCAUCAAAUACCCCCAAAUUUAAAUCGUUGUUUGUCCUCAAGCAACAAAACACAAGACAACACAAAAAACUAAACAAACAAUACAAAUGCACCUAAAACUAUCUACAUGUUUAUAAUUCCAGCAAUCGAAUAACACAUCGUAUAUUCAUUAGGCCUCAAAAAAAUCACAAUAACACGCUAGUAACUCAUAUCAAGACAACUCAAUAAUAUCCCAACAAUCAACAAAUCUAAAUCUGUUAUUACUGAUAUCGUGCGUGUGUGUUCAACAACCAUGCUAAUCAAUGAAAAGCAAAAUAUGAAACAUAAUAGAUUUCUUAGAAGGCAUCAUACAGUGCAAACUCGAGAACUCCUCAAAUAAACUAGAUUUGGCUAAAAUCAAACAAUUACCAAAGUUCAAGGGUCAAAAUGGAAUACUUAUGCUUUAUAUAUAUAUAUAUAUAUAUAUAUAUAUAUAUAUAUUUAUGGCUGUGCAAUGUCCUAUUCCCUUAGGCUUUUCAAUGCUACCUUAACGAGCUUUCGACCAACGACUCCCAAGCCAUUAAGACCUUAGGGCGCUAGGUGUAAAGACAAUCCCCUCGGGCUUACUUACUCAAGUAACAAAGGCCACAAAACUAGACAAGCAUGCCAUGGUGUUUAUUCAUUUUUUUUAUAGCUUAUAUACUCCAAAUAUUUUCCCCCCAAACUUGAAUUUAUGUCUAAAUUCAGCCAUCACUAGUUAUUCAUAUUGUUCUUUCAUUCCACUAACAUUUAUCCUUUAGAACUUUAUUAUCUAUCCAUUUAAACUUUCUCAGCUAACAAGGUCGUUUCUUAAUAAGUGCUAUCAUGAUAACAUCGGUUUCGAACAGAUAAAGAUUUAAAUUAUGUCAAGAAAAUCACAUCACCAUCUUAACAAUCCUUACUAGACUUGUUCAUGCAAUUUCAAUUUCAUCAUUGGCCCCGAAUAUACUUAAACUAUUAAAUAGCUAAAAUUUUAUGAAAUCCUAAAUGCAACACAUAACAAAAAAAAAUUAAAAACAUACUAUCCACAAACAUGACAUCUACUAAUGCAAAUAAAAAUUAAACUACCCCCAAACUUAUAACGAGCAAUGUCCUCAUGCGAAAAAUAUAACAGUAUAGAACAGAGGACUUCCCUGACGAGCUUAUUCCUUGGGUGCAGCAUCAUCAUCUUCUCUCAUCUCUUGAUCAGAAGGGGGAAACACAUGCAAAACAAGAGCAGUAGGGAAUUGGCUAAGAUUCACGCCCGGGUACAAUUGAGCAUUCAUAGCAUUCUGGACGGCGAAUUGGUCGACUAAAAAUUUAUAUAUCACAUCUUGAAGUUCAGACAGGCGGACAUUCUGGGAUUCGAGAUUAUAGAACCAACCAUCAAUUUCCCGCUGGAAGGCCUCAGGAACAACACCACGGUGAGCUGCAGAAGAAGGACCAUAUGUGGGUGGAGCCGAAGGUUGUGAAGCUUAUGGAGCUUCAACUUGGGGAAUUAUAAAACCCAAUCCCCUAGGGUGGUUUUCCCCACCAGUCCAUACUCUAUACCUACUGAUCAGCUUAUGGUCCAACACCGGCAUGUGGGUUUAAAUCAUCUCAUCCGACUUCCAUUCGACCUCAAAUUUUGCACAUAACACACAAAUGAGAGAUGGAUGGGGUAACCCUCCUGUGGUUCCUCUUCGUGCAGCUCGCAGAAUGGAUUGCUGAAUGACGAGGCCAACAUCAAUCUUUAAACCUUGAAUAAUGGAAUACAGCAAUACAACCCUCUCCUUGGUGACAUGGCUCACAUGCGUGCACGACAUAAGCUUAGCGCAUAUAAAUGCAUACCAAGCCUUUCCAUAUAAGUUGAGGUGUGAAAGUGGGAAUGUCAUGCUGCCUCGUUUAUGCAAUAUCCAUGUGGUGCCCGAUUGACAAAGCUCACGUAUUAUGGUUUCAUAAUCUGGUCCUUGACUCACAAGACUUGCAUACUUGUUAUUGUGUCCCUCUAACGACAGUUGGUAGCACCCGUUAAUGUCUUCUUUGCCAAAUUCAACAGUCUUGCCUCGCACAUACACCCCAUAGUGGAAAUGCUCUGAAACGUUGGCGUAGAACUCUUUGACGACUGCAAUUACUAUUGGGUCGGGUUGUGCGGUGAGUGUGAACCAAUUCCUCUCAGCAAUCAUUACCGCCAUGUCCCCAUCCUUUGAUUGAUCGGGCCUUAAACCGCAUUCAGGGUCAAGAGAGCGGGUAGCCAUACGGUUAUAACAUUCGUGAGCCGCUGCACUAAUGAAAUGGCGGAUGUCAAAUUUUGGAGGAGCCGAAGCUGAUCUCGAACCUUCUCCUCGUUAACGCUUUGAGGCCAUUAGAAAAUUCUGCAAGGAAUGCACAUGCACACCUGCUAGAAUUUGGGCAUAAAUCGAAUACUGACAUACGUACCCAUAACACUACCCCCAAACUUCUAAAUAAAUGUGUGCUAUGUAUUAUGAUUGGGGGUGUGGGGAGACACAGAGUAGCAUGAAAGUACAAAAUUGCCCGAUUAAUCGUCGCUAAUAUACAAAUAUUACAAUUGGCAAAAGAAGUACAAGGUACACCCCAAAAAUGUGACAUGUAGAAUCAUAUUAUGGCCAACGACUGCAUACAUUCGGUACAUGAGUAGCGUAAAAAUAUGUAGGCUAAAAUUUUGAGGAAUUACCAUCAAGUAGUCAAUGUAUGUGCAAAUCCGACAAAACAAUAGUCCCGUAGAAAUUUUACUCUAAGUAAGCAUCAAUACAAUUUAGCCCCCCCCCCAACACUAAUGAUAUUUCCAUUUAACAGUAGUCCUAUGGUAUUUGAAUGGCAAGAAUGCAAGUACAAUCAGUGUUGGAUAUGGCGUUGUGCGCAUUGAACAAAGAAUAUUGAGUUAGGACAAAUACCGAACACCUUGUGGGCGGGUUAUAUUUUUCUUUGAAUCACCACUAUUUUCCUAACAAUUCACACCCCAAACUUCAAUUAUCUUUUAGUAUAUCAUAUAUGUGUGACAUCUCAAUCAAAGUGAUUCACAUGCAAGCCAUAUGAGAUAUUCAAAAUCAGAAGAAUGAAAAGCUGUACUCUAGAUGUAGGAGAAGGUGACUCAAGUUAGAUACUUACUCUCUAAAUCGUAAAAAUUGCAGGCACCAGCAAGAGAAACAUAAAACACACGGCUAAGAAGAUUCAGUGCAACAAAGAUUUGAGGAUAUUGCAAGACAUACCUUGGGUUUUGAAAGAGUUAACCAAAUUCGCAAAUUAGUGACUGAAUCAAAUUGUGCUGUCACAACAGAUGUGCAGGUUAUAUAUUGUUAUAUGGGGCUGGUCAGUUAUCAAAGAAUAGAAACGGCUAAAACAUUUAUAGAUGGUGGAAGGAGUUGGAUGGUUAGAGGAGUGUGAACCAAGAAUGUGUAUUUAAUUGUCAAACCUGGCCCUUCAGCGCCUGGGCGAUGGGAUUUACACACUGAAGAGCGCCGGGGCGCUGAGAUGUAGGCUUAUUCUAGUGCUGAGGCACUGGAAUGUAGAAACAGAUGGACACCCCUAGCGAUGGGGCGCUGUAAGUGUAUUGAAACCGAGCGUCGGGGCGCUGAUAGACAGAAACGUUGGAGCUGCUCAGCGCCGGGGCCCUAAUGGCUUGCUUAUGUUGGGCGUCGGGGCACUGCAGGGUUGUUGGGCCUUCUGUGCUGAUGCGCUGGGGCGCUAAUGGACACUGCUCCUCUUCUGUGGUCUGUUUAUUGUGACUUGUUUAGCCCGUUUCUUGCCACUUUGUUCAAUUAUUUCUUUAGCCUGACCCUUAUAAACAAGUGAACACUGGAAUAGGCAGGAAAAUUAUGAAGAAUAUUAGUCUAAUACAGUAUACUAUGAAAUGG
Molecule: long non-coding RNA, 3948 nt
Filed under: Panax ginseng (ginseng)
Lineage: Eukaryota; Viridiplantae; Streptophyta; Magnoliopsida; Apiales; Araliaceae
Description: long non-coding RNA (PGIN_LNC018048)
Source: RNAcentral